This 253-nucleotide ribosomal RNA is filed under the name uncultured bacterium. RNAcentral's name for it is "partial 16S ribosomal RNA". It matches the Rfam family "Bacterial small subunit ribosomal RNA", at positions 524 to 776 of the family's 1533-position model. The record is from RNAcentral.
UACGGAGGGUGCAAGCGUUAUCCGGAUUCACUGGGUUUAAAGAGUGUGUAGGCGGUGCUCUAAGUUCGGUGUGAAAUCUCCCGGCUUAACUGGGAGGGUGCGCCGGAAACUGGAGUGCUUGAGCGCGGGAGAGGAAAGCGGAAUUCCUGGUGUAGCGGUGAAAUGCGUAGAUAUCAGGAGGAACACCUGUGGUGUAGACGGCUUUCUGGACCGUAGCUGACGCUGAGACACGAAAGCGUGGGUAGCAAACAGG